Molecule: long non-coding RNA, 4112 nt
Organism: Pogoniulus pusillus (Red-fronted tinkerbird)
Lineage: Eukaryota; Metazoa; Chordata; Aves; Piciformes; Lybiidae
Exons: 3
Source: RefSeq, a predicted model, not a curated record
GGCUGUCGGGAAGGCGCCGUGCGAACCGGCGGCUCCCGCCGGCCGGGCUGCGGAAUUGCUGGGGCGCCGGAGGAUGUAAACGUGAAGGCGGCAACACCUCGGCCUCCUGCUGCUGUUAAGUCUCCAGGAUCAGGCAGGACUGAACCCAGACCUCAGUGUUCAAGCUCUGAACAACAAAGGGAACGUAUUUUCUUCAUGGAUCAACCACAUGCAGAUGCUACAGUUAAAAAGGCAUAAAAAAGAAGUCAGUCCAGCAGAGGACCGCAGGAAUGGGAGUCAAGAGCUGCAGCAUGAGCUUCAAGAGGAGAGAGGGAGGGAACUUGGUUUGGUCAUCCUGGACAAAAGGUGGCUUCAAGUGAAGAGGCAGGAACAGUUUCAAUAUAGAAAGCACACAACAGUCAAACUGCUACAGGGCAGGUUGCCACUAGAUACUGUGGAGCGGAGACAAGAAAAAGACUAAGUCCAUUAUGACUAAACAUUUGCAGUGAGGUCUGCAGCCAGUCAAUUCUAUAUUCUUAGAGAUUUUGAAGACCUGACCAGUCUAAACACUAAGGAACCUGGUCUGAUUUCAGUGUUGAUCCUGCUUUGAGCAGAAGGUCUAACUACAGACCUCCCAAGGUCUCUGAAUGAUUGCUUGGUUUAAAGAAGAUUAACAUAAUCAUACUACUGCAAAUGCAGUGUAAAAUCAUCUGUCUUGCUGCCUUCAAACUAGACCAUACUUACCUAUACAUGAUGUAACCAAUGAACACCACUGUUUGCACCGCUACAAAUAUGAUGAAGUGUGUGGUAGAUAAGCACGAUGGGAAGGGCGGCAGGUCUGGGCACUUUGGUUUCUCGUUAGAUGGCUGAAAAACCAAGAAAAGCAGUAUUUGAGGGGAAAAAGCAAACAAGAUCUGCCACCAAAUGACUGUUAGGGCAGGAAACGGAACAAGGUCUUUGCAGCCACACAAGUGGAAAUGGCACUACUUGAGAAAAUCAGAACCUUCCUUUGCUUGUCUUCCCUUACUCACUUUUUUGUUUCUCAGCUAAACUGACUGAUGUUAAUUUGAGGGAAAAGAAGAAAUCUUUGAUAAAUCCACUCUGAAAUAAAGAACCUUUAGUGGGCUCACUAGCUAAUUCAGCUUAAUUGCUACCUAGGCUAGACUAAGGUGCUCCUGAAUGUGAAUGCAGUCAUCUUUCACACUUAGAGCCCUAAAGCGCAGCCUGCCUGAGCUUCCUCUGAUUAAAGCUCUCCUCUUUGUGCAGAAGUAAUAGAGAAUCUCAUCUGUAUAGAGCUGUGAAGCAGGGAGGCAAACACAAAAAAGCACCCAGAAACCUAAUUGCUUGACCUUCUUUCCACAGGAAAUUAGACUAAAAAUCACGCUCUUUGUGCAAAACUUCUCAUCAAGACACAGAUCAUGCAGUUAGGUCAAGGCAGUGCAGUUUUAGUGAAGCAGCUUAAUGAAGGAUUAAUUGCUCCAUAAAUUGCAUGCUGGCUCAUCCUAGCUUUUCACUAACAGACAAAUAAAGAAGUGUUACACUUCCAGCACAUAAAUUACCAUAUUUUGUUGUACUAAAUGCUCAAUGUCCCUUUUUACUACAUGAAGGUGUUCUUUGAUGUCAUUGAAGUGCUGAGUUGUUUCAUAGACUCCUGCAGCAGAGCCAGGAUGUUGAGCUCCACUGAUCAACCUCAGAGUAUCAGCCAUGGAAUUUCUGAAAUGAGACAAUGACAAAACAGCUUUCAGUGAAGAACAGCAGUUUUGAGUCCAAAUUAGUUUGAAAUACAUAGUUGCCCCCAAAGGCAGAAAAGCCUUUUUCUAGCUUCCAAGAAUACCUAUUGAGAAAUAAUUCCUUAAUCAAACAAUUAUAUUAAAAAAUGCUUGGUUCUGUACUCAGUUUGAAUGUGUGCAGUGCACCACCUCCUAUGAGCACACUGAAAACAAGAUGUGGCUAGACAUCUGCUUUGCCUGGCUGAUGAAGUCUAAAACAAGAGUUUUAUCUGAGGCUCUUGCCAAGGCUUUAGGAUAAGCAGAGUUUAAUGCAAUCUUUGAAGAAAACCAAAAGCUGUUUGAAAAAUAGAGAAAUAAACCCAGUCAUGUAAGAAAUAAGAAUAAAGAGGCGGCUUUAGGGAUAAGAAAAGAUUUAGAUACAUCCUUGUUUCAUGAUUAUCAUUUAUAUGAGAAACUCAUUUUCCCCAUGUAUUGUCAUAAUACCUGCCAGUGUCUUCCUGUGAAUUCUUUCCGCUUUUACAACAAAUCAAAUUGGAGUCUCAACUUUUUAUGGAUUUGUAACUAAUUUUGUUUGAGGUAAACUAGUCAAUGAGAGAAAAACCCUUAAUCUCUAAUCAAUAUGUUUAUAUAAUUUCCCCCUACUUUGAUGUUUCUUUCCAGUUGCAAAGAGGAUUAUUCUACAGAUAAAAUGUUUAUCAUGUGGAUGUUAAUCUCUUUGUUAUUGACCGAACAAACAAUCAGGAUCUACAUCUUCGGAUUUCUUUUUAAUUUACUUAAAACUUUACAUUCGGUUCAGCUGAGCACUUCAGUGCCUUCAAGUUACCUGUGUACAGUGGUCAGCAAUGUAUCAUAGAAUGGUUUGGAUUGGAAGGGACCUUUAAAGACCACCUGGCCCGGCCCCUCUGCCACAGGCAGGGACAUUGUUCUUUCAGUAGACCAGGCUGCCCAAGUCCCCAUUCAUCUUGACUCUGGGCACUGUCAGUUUUAACUUUUACACACAGGAACAAACCACAAAAUCUGGAUUGAAUACUAUUAAUUUAGAAACCUGGCCACAGCAUAUGAUGGUGUUUGUGUGACACAGAAUUGCAUCACCAUUUGAAAUGUGAAAGCCCCAAGCAAAGCAUUGAAAUGUCCACGUUUACAGAGAGUCUUCAUGAAGACAAAACUCUGCAAUAGCUGCUCUGCAUGCCACUAAAACUCAACAACAUAAAAGCCCCCAAAGAAGGAGAAAAAACUAGUAGUGCACGUCCUGCUCAAAGGCACAGUGACAAGUCUCUAGAGGCUUAGACAGCAAGCACAGACGUGCUAGUGUCACAGCAGUGUUUGCUGCCUUGUAAGAACCACGCAGCAUGUUUAAACUACUUGACCAGCUCCAUAUGAAGUCAAAGCCAUGCACUAAAUUUAUCUGCACAAUGACACUGUGCUGCAGGCACAGCACCUUAAGAGAUGCAGUCAGUAAUUACAGCCCUUCUUAAAUGAUAGAUCAGUGGCAGGCUUCAAGCUGAAGACUACCAGGUACUCUUGAAAAUCCCAUUUGGACUGAAAUCAGCUCCAAGUAUUCUGCAUACUUCCCACGUGGGGAAAAGCCCCCCUUUUUCACUUCCAGUAAGGAAAAGAUCCAUGAAGUCACUUUGUGCUGUCACCUUUGUAAAAGCUCAAUCCCACUUCCAGCAUGGAUUAGAAGAUCAAUCACCUUCCACAGCAAUACCUGUGGUUGCUCUGGAUACCACAAUGUUCUCUAGGCGAGGUGGAGUUAGCCCUGGACUUCUGCAGAGCCUAUUCUUUUCCUGUACUCUGAAUCAGUGCUAUAACCACCUAUGAGAGAAACAAGUUCUGCACUGGAAGAUUUUUUUUUUUCUCUUAAAUGCAGAUCCAUGCACCCUAUGGCUGCUGCUUGGUACCCGCUGGUAGUAAUCCUGCCUGUCCACACGCACCUCCCUGUUUGAUCUCGCACGAAAGUGAUGCUCGUUUUGUUCCACUCCCUCCCAAUAUCACCGAUCUCUGCGUAGUUGACAGAGGUCUGCACAGGCACCUUCCCCCCAGGCCGAUCUGCUGUUGGCUAAAAGCAAAACAACCUCCUUAAGCGGCCGUGGUCUUUCUCAAGUGUAAUUUACAUUUUCUUUUGCCUGAACAAUACCAUGCUGAUGGUUUCUAUUGUAUGAACAUGCAAGAUUCCUCUGUAAUCAGAUGAUUAAGAAAUCCACAAAUCUUGACGAGAAAAUGGCUUUAGACAGUUAAGUCCUUUUCCUCCGGGAUGCCCAGAGGGCUGUUCGUGUCUGUCUAUAAAUAAAGCAGUUCUUUAAUCUAAGAAAAAUAUUAAGAUGAUGUUAUGCAAACCCAUACCUAGUAAGCAGUCCCUAGAAGGGCAGACUGCCAGUGAUAACAAGAAAAUCUAAUUUGCUU